Molecule: ribosomal RNA, 497 nt
Filed under: uncultured bacterium
Lineage: Bacteria
Description: partial 16S ribosomal RNA
Rfam family: Bacterial small subunit ribosomal RNA
Source: RNAcentral
GAUGAACGCUGGCGGCGUGCCUAAUACAUGCAAGUCGAGCGAACAGACGAGGAGCUUGCUCCUCUGACGUUAGCGGCGGACGGGUGAGUAACACGUGGAUAACCUACCUAUAAGACUGGGAUAACUUCGGGAAACCGGAGCUAAUACCGGAUAAUAUAUUGAACCGCAUGGUUCAAUAGUGAAAGACGGUUUUGCUGUCACUUAUAGAUGGAUCCGCGCCGCAUUAGCUAGUUGGUAAGGUAACGGCUUACCAAGGCAACGAUGCGUAGCCGACCUGAGAGGGUGAUCGGCCACACUGGAACUGAGACACGGUCCAGACUCCUACGGGAGGCAGCAGUAGGGAAUCUUCCGCAAAGGGCGAAAGCUUGACGGAGCAACGCCGCGUGAGUGAUGAAGGUCAUCGGAUCGUAAAACUCUGUUAUUAGGGAAGAACAAAUGUGUAAGUAACUAUGCACGUCUUGACGGUACCUAAUCAGAAAGCCACGGCUAACUACGUG